Molecule: long non-coding RNA, 1226 nt
Filed under: Betta splendens (Siamese fighting fish)
Lineage: Eukaryota; Metazoa; Chordata; Actinopteri; Anabantiformes; Osphronemidae
Description: lncRNA (ENSBSLG00000004638.1)
Source: RNAcentral
CUGUAGUUCACCCGAGGUCAUGGGAGGACGGCGCCCCCUCUUCCCGUAUCGGACCUCGGUCCACUCAUUUUGAGCCCUGUGGCUCAUCACUGGUGUCGCCUUUGAUAUAUAUUAAUAAACCCAAACAAAACAUUCAAUGAUGGAAAUGAAUUAAAAUCCAAAACGUGCACCGUUUGUGCUUUUAAUAGUUUUUAAAUGAAAAUAAAAUAAAAUCCAAAGCGUGCACUGUCUGUGCUUUUAAUAGUUUUUAAACAAAAAUAAACUAAACUCCAAAACGUACCCGAAGUUUGUGUUUUUAAUGUGUUUUUAAUUGUUAUUUAAUGAAUUUAUAAUGAAAAUAACUCAAAAUAAAAACCGUGAAAAUUAUCCAGAGUUUUAAUUAACUUCUAUUAAAUCCAAAAACAAAAAAGUGCCCAGUCGACGUUUCGACCAAUAAAGGUCUUCUUCAGGAUGGGCACAAAUGAAAAAAAACCUUUGAGCAGUGACCAGAUAGAUGUUGUCCCUUCGAUGGUCAAAGCAGAAAUGAGCUCUCUGUGUGCGCUCCGAGCUUUAUAACCUCGCCUGUCGGCUUAAAAAUGUGCUCGCUGUAUUUAGUUUCGUCUUUGCCCUUGAGUUUCGCUUCUGUUAACCCCUUACAUCCCGGUUACUUUUUAAUGCUCCCACAAUGUAAUUUAAUGGCAUCCCCAACCCAAUUUUAAUUAUUUUUACCAUCCCAAUUAUUUAUUUAUUUGACCUUUUCCGAUUUUUCUCCUUUUAUGUAUAUGUAAUUUAUCCCAAAUUAAAUCCAUGAAUAAUUGGUUAGGGUUAGGGCUGGCCACCGACAUCCCCUUGGUUUUAGGGUCCCCCAUGAACGGUUGGGUUUAGGGCCCAGAAAAGGUGGACGGUUGGGGUUAGGGCCAGAAAUCAAUGGUUGGGGUUAGAGCCAAAAAUCAACGGUUAGGGUUAGGGCCAAAAAUUAAGGGUUGGGGUUAAGGUUAGAGCGAAAAAAUCAAAAUGGUUAAGGUUAGGGCCAAAAAACGAAAAUGGUUAGGGUUAGGGUUAGAAAAUAAAAGAUUGGAUCCCCCCAUCCAGAACAGAUGGAGGGAUCAGAUGCACUCUCCAUCCAGGGACCUGGAACGAGUUGGGAGGAAACAUUCUCCCAAGGGGGACGAGGGGAGCAGCCAGGGGAAGCGGAAACCCACCAGACCCACCUGCAGGCACUGGCUGGGUUAGAAAAUAAAAGAUUG